This 65-nucleotide transfer RNA is filed under the name uncultured Anaerotignum sp. It matches the Rfam family "tRNA", at positions 5 to 66 of the family's 71-position model. From Rfam's summary of the family: Transfer RNA (tRNA) molecules are approximately 80 nucleotides in length. Their secondary structure includes four short double-helical elements and three loops (D, anti-codon, and T loops). The record is from RNAcentral. Lineage: Bacteria; Bacillati; Bacillota; Clostridia; Lachnospirales; Anaerotignaceae.
CCGUGGCUCAGCAGGUAGAGCGUCGCCUUGGUAAGGCGGAGGUCACGGGUUCAAGUCCCGUCGGU